GAUCCUGACUCAGGAUGAACGUUAGCUACAGGCUUAACACAUGCAAGUCGAGGGGCAGCAUUUUAGUUUGCUUGCAAACUAAAGAUGGCGACCGGCGCACGGGUGAGUAACACGUAUCCAACCUGCCGAUAACUCUGGGAUAGCCUUUCGAAAGAAAGAUUAAUACCGGAUGGCAUAGGAUUAUCGCAUGAUAAUCCUAUUAAAGAAUUUCGGUUAUCGAUGGGGAUGCGUUCCAUUAGGUAGUUGG
This 247-nucleotide ribosomal RNA is filed under the name uncultured bacterium. RNAcentral's name for it is "partial 16S ribosomal RNA". It matches the Rfam family "Bacterial small subunit ribosomal RNA", at positions 15 to 252 of the family's 1533-position model. The record is from RNAcentral.